UCCUGGCUGGCUCAGUUGGUAGAGCAUGUGACUCUUGAUCUCAGGGCCAUGAGAUCAAGCCCCAUACUAGGUG
RNAcentral lists this transfer RNA (73 nucleotides) under Vulpes vulpes (red fox). It matches the Rfam family "tRNA". From Rfam's summary of the family: Transfer RNA (tRNA) molecules are approximately 80 nucleotides in length. Their secondary structure includes four short double-helical elements and three loops (D, anti-codon, and T loops). The record is from Rfam by way of RNAcentral. Lineage: Eukaryota; Metazoa; Chordata; Mammalia; Carnivora; Canidae.